RNAcentral lists this ribosomal RNA (845 nucleotides) under uncultured bacterium. RNAcentral describes it as "bacterial SSU rRNA". It matches the Rfam family "Bacterial small subunit ribosomal RNA", at positions 112 to 957 of the family's 1533-position model. The record is from RNAcentral.
AAGACAUCGGAACGUGCCCAGUCGUGGGGGAUAACUACUCGAAAGAGUAGCUAAUACCGCAUACGAUCUGAGGAUGAAAGCGGGGGACCUUCGGGCCUCGCGCGAUUGGAGCGGCCGAUGGCAGAUUAGGUAGUUGGUGGGAUAAAAGCUUACCAAGCCGACGAUCUGUAGCUGGUCUGAGAGGACGACCAGCCACACUGGGACUGAGACACGGCCCAGACUCCUACGGGAGGCAGCAGUGGGGAAUUUUGGACAAUGGGCGAAAGCCUGAUCCAGCAAUGCCGCGUGCAGGAUGAAGGCCUUCGGGUUGUAAACUGCUUUUGUACGGAACGAAAAAGCUUCUCCUAAUACGAGAGGCCCAUGACGGUACCGUAAGAAUAAGCACCGGCUAACUACGUGCCAGCAGCCGCGGUAAUACGUAGGGUGCGAGCGUAAAUCGGAAUUACUGGGCGUAAAGCGUGCGCAGGCGGUUAUGUAAGACAGAUGUGAAAUCCCCGGGCUCAACCUGGGAACUGCAUUUGUGACUGCAUGGCUAGAGUACGGUAGAGGGGGGAUGGAAUUCCGCGUGUAUCAGUGAAAUGCGUAGAUAUGCGGAGGAACACCGAUGGCGAAGGCAAUCCCCUGGACCUGUACUGACGCUCAUGCACGAAAGCGUGGGGAGCAACGGGAUUAGAUACCCUGGUAAGUCCACGCCUAAACGAUGUCAACUGGAUUGUUGGGAUUAGUUUCUCAGUAACGAAGCUAACGCGUGAAGUUGACGCUUGGGGAGUACGGCCGCAAGGUGGAACUCAAAGGAAUUGACGGGGACCUCACAGCGGGGGGAAGAUGGUGGUUUAUUUCAGUGC